RNAcentral lists this ribosomal RNA (253 nucleotides) under uncultured bacterium. RNAcentral's name for it is "partial 16S ribosomal RNA". It matches the Rfam family "Bacterial small subunit ribosomal RNA", at positions 524 to 776 of the family's 1533-position model. The record is from RNAcentral.
GACGUAGGGCGCGAGCGUUGUCCGGAUUUAUUGGGCGUAAAGAGCUCGUAGGCGGCUUGUCGCGUCGUCCGUGAAAACCUGCAGCUCAACUGCAGGCUUGCGGUCGAUACGGGCAGGCUAGAGUUCGGUAGGGGAGACUGGAAUUCCUGGUGUAGCGGUGAAAUGCGCAGAUAUCAGGAGGAACACCCGUGGCGAAAGCGGCUCUCUGGGACGGUACUGACACUGAGGAGCGAAAGCGUGGGGAGCGAACAGG